Molecule: ribosomal RNA, 497 nt
Filed under: uncultured bacterium
Lineage: Bacteria
Description: partial 16S ribosomal RNA
Rfam family: Bacterial small subunit ribosomal RNA
Source: RNAcentral
GAUGAACGCUGGCGGCGUGCCUAAUACAUGCAAGUCGAGCGAACGGACGAGGAGCUUGCUCCUCUGAUGUUAGCGGCGGACGGGUGAGUAACACGUGGAUAACCUACCUAUAAGACUGGGAUAACUUCGGGAAACCGGAGCUAAUACCGGAUGAUAUAUUGAACCGCAUGGUUCAAUAGUGAAAGACGGUCUUUCUUUCACUUAUAGAUGGAUCCGCGCUGCAUUAGCUAGUUGGUAAGGUAACGGCUUACCAAGGCAACGAUGCAUAGCCGACCUGAGAGGGUGAUCGGCCACACUGGAACUGAGGAACGGUCCAGACUCCUACGGGGGGCAGCAGUAGGGAAUCUUCCGCAAUGGGCGAAAGCGUGACGGAGCAACGCCGCGUGAGUGAUGAAGGUCUUCGGAUCGUAAAACUCUGUUAUUAGGGAAGAACAAAUGUGUAAGUAACUGUGCACAUCUUGACGGUACCUAAUCAGAAAGCCACGGCUAACUACGUG